This 491-nucleotide ribosomal RNA is filed under the name uncultured bacterium. RNAcentral describes it as "partial 16S ribosomal RNA". It matches the Rfam family "Bacterial small subunit ribosomal RNA", at positions 28 to 506 of the family's 1533-position model. The record is from RNAcentral.
GACGAACGCUGGCGGCGUGCUUAACACAUGCAAGUGGAGCGACGAACCAGGGCUUGCCCUGGGGCAGAGCCGCGAACGGGUGAGUAACACGUGGGUAACGUGCCCCGAUGACUGGGACAACCCGGGGAAACCCGGGCUAAUACCGGAUGUGCCCCCUCACAUCAGUGAGGUGUGUAAAGGAAGCUUCGGCCUCCGCAUCGGGAUCGGCCCGCGGCCCAUUAGCUUGUUGGUGAGGUAACGGCUCACCAAGGCUGCGAUGGGUAGCUGGUCUGAGAGGACGAUCAGCCACACUGGGACUGAGACACGGCCCAGACUCCUACGGGAGGCAGCAGUGGGGAAUCUUGCGCAAUGCGCGAAAGCGUGACGCAGCAACGCCGCGUGGGGGAAGACGGCCUUCGGGUUGUAAACCCCUUUCAGUUGGGACGAAGGUCGGGCGGUUAACAGCCGUUCCGGCUGACGGUACCUUCACAAGAAGCCCCGGCUAACUACGU